Molecule: ribosomal RNA, 404 nt
Filed under: Bacillota bacterium
Lineage: Bacteria; Bacillati; Bacillota
Also listed under: 1 other name
Description: Firmicutes bacterium partial 16S ribosomal RNA
Rfam family: Bacterial small subunit ribosomal RNA
Source: RNAcentral
UGGGGAAUAUUGGACAAUGGGCGCAAGCCUGAUCCAGCCAUGCCGCGUGGAUGAUGAAGGCCCUAGGGUUGUAAAGUCCUUUCGGCGGGGAAGAUAAUGACGGUACCCGCAGAAGAAGCCCCGGCUAACUUCGUGCCAGCAGCCGCGGUAAUACGAAGGGGGCUAGCGUUGCUCGGAAUCACUGGGCGUAAAGCGCACGUAGGCGGACUCUUAAGUCGGUGGUGAAAUCCUGGAGCUCAACUCCAGAACUGCCUUCGAUACUGAGAGUCUCGAGUCCGAGAGAGGUGAGUGGAACUGCGAGUGUAGAGGUGAAAUUCGUAGAUAUUCGCAAGAACACCAGUGGCGAAGGCGGCUCACUGGCUCGGUACUGACGCUGAGGUGCGAAAGCGUGGGGAGCAAACAGG